This 507-nucleotide ribosomal RNA is filed under the name uncultured bacterium. RNAcentral's name for it is "partial 16S ribosomal RNA". It matches the Rfam family "Bacterial small subunit ribosomal RNA", at positions 28 to 507 of the family's 1533-position model. The record is from RNAcentral.
GACGAACGCUGGCGGCGUGCCUAAUACAUGCAAGUCGAACGCAUUUUCUUUCACCGUAGCUUGCUACACCGAAAGAAAAUGAGUGGCGGACGGGUGAGUAACACGUUGGUAACCUGCCCAUCAGCGGGGGAUAACACUUGGAAACAGGUGCUAAUACCGCAUAAUUCCAUUUACUGCAUGGUAGAUGGAUGAAAGGCGCUUUUGCGUCACUGAUGGAUGGACCCGCGGUGCAUUAGCUAGUUGGUGGGGUAACGGCCUACCAAGGCUGCGAUGCAUAGCCGACCUGAGAGGGUGAUCGGCCACACUGGGACUGAGACACGGCCCAGACUCCUACGGGAGGCAGCAGUAGGGAAUCUUCGGCAAUGGACGCAAGUCUGACCGAGCAACGCCGCGUGAGUGAAGAAGGUUUUCGGAUCGUAAAACUCUGUUGUUAGAAAAGAACAAGGAUGAGAGUGGAAAGUUCAUCCCUUGACGGUAUCUAACCAGAAAGCCACGGCUAACUACGUG